GGGGGACUCUCGAAGUAACCAAGAACCGAAUGGGAAUGAUUCCUUUACUAUUACUGAACGGAUGGGAAUGUGACCAGUCAAGUGCAGUCCCGUCCGGCGAGUUACACAGUAAACAUCGCCAGGCAUACAAAUAAGCGCAAUAGAAUCAAAGACUACACUCGAAGAUGGACAACCAAUGUGCAAGAAACAACAAUUAUGCAAAUACAAAGAGAAAAACAAAAUAUUAAAUAAUAUUGAGAACCUGAGUUGUAGAGACCCUGAAAGCGCUUUCAGUAUUGCAGCUUAUGCGUCCACGUGUGUGGACGAUUGCUCAGCUUCUGACGCCAGACAGAAGUCUUGCUGCAAAGGUUUCAGCGUGUGAGGAAGCACAUCCGGAGAGAACAUGACCUUUGCUGCAUUUUUCCAUUCGAACGCACACAAUCCAGGCUCCACCAGGGAGAAAGAGCAUAUUAAAUAGAACAUAAAAAUCAAAUUGACUAUGGCUUGGAAGCAUCUCAAUGCACUUCAUAUUGAAUGGAUUUUUCUGUGAUGAAUGUUUACUGAAUUGAAUGGUCUGGAAAGAGCCCAAGUACAAUCCUCACUCAUGGCUAAUAGCAGAGCUCUCGAUGGCAAUAGCUAUAAGCAUCAUCCCAGAACAGUUAAAAUACCAGUAGCUGCUGCAAAAAUAAUCUGAAAGCUCAAGACAGACGCUCAUCUUUGGUAAAAUAGAAAAGAGUUUCCUAUUGCAUCUCCAGUGCAUAAAUGGUGUCCCUAUUGUCCGUUCAUGGUAAGUUAGCAUUUUUUAUUCUAUUCUAAAAUAGAUUACUGGACAUCCAAUCGAAGGAAACAUUAACCAUUUCCCUCUCCCCAUAAGAUAUUGCCCUGUCUGUUGAAUAUUUACAGUAUUUACAAUAAUAUAUAUUUCAAGUUAUUGGACUUAAUGCCUAAAUUGGCUUUAAAAGCUGGAAAAUCUCCUGAAAAUGGCCAUCAUCAGGAAUGAGGAUGGACAAGAUUCUGCCAUUUCAAUUUGUGCAGAUAUAUUAUUUAGCCAUAAAUCCAUCAUCCCACCAUACACAUUUGUUUACUUAAUUGAAAAUUUGAUUACCGUUCCAAAAUUGUGGAGGUAUAGCAUGGUCAUUAUUAAAAAUGGGGUCCGUUCCUCACAGUGCUGAGGUAAUGACAACAGAUAUGCCCAAUUCCAUCUUGAAUCUGGUAAAGUUCCUCUGAAUAAAUAGCUCUCAAAAUCAACUAUUUCCUCUUUAUUAUCCCUGCCAAAAUAAUUUUUCCAUCUCAGACUUUAGAGUGUAAGAAUAGCCAUCACAUUAGAGUGAAAAAUAUAAUUGAAGGAUGUAAACUGGAGAACCAGCAGGGUAAUUUCCAAUUCCAGCAACCAUGAAGGGCGUAACAACUUCUUCACUGGCUGUUCAUGUUCCUGUGAAAUCUUAUAUUUUCUGUGCAAAGCCUGUCCAAUGAUGGGUCCAACCAAAGCUAGCCUUCAAUCAAAAGCAUAACGCUAUGCCAGCAUUCCUAACAAAUGUUUGGAAACUUGCAAAGGUCCAAACCUGGCUACUGCUCACCUCAUAAGAUUGGUACGCACUUGUUGUUCAUCAGGGUAUAUACGGCCACGUCCUUCCCUGGAUAAAACAAUCUCAAACAAGCUUGCUCUGCUACAUAAACUGCAGUUAACCAUUACGGUUAAUUCAAAGCACUUGUGACCUUUGAAAUAAUG
Long non-coding RNA from Hypanus sabinus (Atlantic stingray), 1708 nucleotides. RefSeq lists it as uncharacterized. The transcript is spliced from 4 exons. The record is from RefSeq and is a predicted model, not a curated record. Lineage: Eukaryota; Metazoa; Chordata; Chondrichthyes; Myliobatiformes; Dasyatidae.